ACAGUAUGUUGUUUCUGCUUUCACUUUAUUACUUCUUUAUAUUUCCACUGACUGUGGUGCUGUAGAAUUUUUUGUCACAGUUAUGCUCUUAUUCUCUAUCUUGUGCUUUUCUUUGGUACACUGGUAUUUGUUGCAGGAUUGUAAAGUUAUGAUAUUUUUAGAUAUCCAAUAAUAUAUGAUUAAACCACAGGAAGAAACUGAACUAAACUAAUGUCUGCAAUGGAAAGUAAAAAUCAAGGAAAUUUCAGUUAGUGUUCUACUUUAAAAAAUAACCUCUAUUAGAUUAUUUUCUUUUGUAUGCAAAUUUACAACCUUUUUUUCUUUGUCCACAGGUAAUUUUUUUUUCCCCACAGGUAAUUUUUUAAAAAGAUUUUAUUUACUCAUUUGAGAGAGAGAAAGAGUGCACAAGUGGGAGAGGGGCAAGGGAGAGGGAAAAGCAGGCUCCUGGCGGAGCUGGACAUGGAAGACAUGGGGUUUGAUACCAGGACCCUGAAAUCAUGACCUGAGCUGAAGUCAGAGUGCUUAACCAACUGAGCUACCCAGGCACCCCUGUACACAGGGAUUUCAUCUCCUAGUGCAGAAUUUUCCAAAUCCUGUUCCAGAAUGUAUUUCUCAAGAUGUCAGUUUCCUUCCUCAGCCAGAUUUGCUACGACUCUUCACAUCAAAUGAAGCAAAAGAUUGCUGUAGAGAGCUGAACACAGGGAACAAACAAUGCAUUAAAAAGUUCUUUGUUGCAAGAAAAAUGCAAGACAAACAAUAAAGUUCAUAAAAACAUAUACAUUUAUAAUUGUGUCUUCAUUACUAACAGUCCUGAGCAGUUGAAUUGCCAGUUAGUAUGAGGUUUUCAAAACAGGCCUAAAUAACAUUCCACCAUAAAAAUAACAUUCAUAUGUAACCACUGACAAAUUGCCACUUGGCUAAGUUAUCUUGUUUCUAAUUUUACAGGUGUUAGAUCUGGCUUGCUUCAGUCAGCUUCUUUGUCAGUCUCAUCACCUGUGAUUUCCAGUUAAAACUUUAUCACACUUAGAUGAUUGGAAAACAGUAUAGACAUGUGAGGAAAUGAUUCAACUUCUGUGACACGAGCAUUCCUUAAUAAUUACUAGAAAAAUCUCCUGAGGGAACAUAUUCACAAACAUCCAAU
This 1141-nucleotide long non-coding RNA is filed under the name Canis lupus familiaris (dog). RNAcentral's name for it is "lncRNA (ENSCAFG00000054902.1)". The record is from RNAcentral. Lineage: Eukaryota; Metazoa; Chordata; Mammalia; Carnivora; Canidae.